This 1065-nucleotide long non-coding RNA is filed under the name Setaria italica (foxtail millet). RNAcentral's name for it is "long non-coding RNA (SITA_LNC002161)". The record is from RNAcentral. Lineage: Eukaryota; Viridiplantae; Streptophyta; Magnoliopsida; Poales; Poaceae.
CAGGGUGAGGAUGUGGUUGCUGGAAUCAGAACCCCGGAGGAUCUUGAUGCCAUGAAGGCACAGAUGCCGGAUGCUUAUGUAGAGCUCGUUGAGAACUGCAAGAUACUGGAGAGCCACUACAAAGAAAUGAUGGUACCUUAUUAUUGCAUUUUCAACCUUUACUGCACCAUUUAUUUUUGAGCUAUAUUUAAACAUGAUCUCUUUAAUAAUUUGCAACAUAAGCGCACUUGAAUACUGGUGUUGCUUCAAUGUGUUCUGUAGAUUGGCAUUGUGUCUCUGUUACUGCCAUUGGCCAUGAUCUCAGACUUGCUUGCUUUUUAUGCAUGAUGCAGGACAUUGAAUUUACCGUUCAGGAAAAUAGGCUCUGGAUGUUACAGUGCAGAUCAGGAAAACGUACAGGCCAAGGGGCGGUAAAGAUUGCUGUGGACAUGGUUAAUGAGGGUCUUGUUGAGCGCCGUCAAGCGAUUAAGAUGGUAGAGCCAGGCCACCUGGACCAGCUUCUCCAUCCUCAGGUAAUGGAUAACCAUGAGGCCCGUAAACUGAUUGUGCCUUACUUGAAAUUCAGUACUCUUAUAAGUUUGGCCUUACUUGGAAUUCACUUUAUAAGUUAAGUACUGGAUAUGUAUUAACAUCACUGUUUUAAUCUUGUCCAAUGAAAACCAGUUUGAGAACCCAUCAGCAUACAAGGAUCAAGUAAUCGCUACAGGCUUACCAGCUUCACCUGGGGCUGCUGUGGGCCAAAUUGUAUUUACUGCAGAGGACGCUGAAGCAUGGCAUGCCCAAGGGAAAGCUGCUAUCCUGGUAAACACCAUUUUAUCCUCAUUUUUAAGAAAAAAAGGUCUUCUGCAGUUUUUGUGUCAUUUUGAUCUGGACUUUGUGCUUCGAUGAAAAGAUCUGUUAAUUGAGCAAAACUGGUCUAUUUACUGGACCUGUUAGAAUAGUUGCUUGCAGAGUUACAGUCACAAAAAUCCCACUUAUCACAGACAGCCAUUUUUGAAAUGCAUAUGGAAGCUCCAAGUCGUAUCGCUUCAUCUUUUGCAUUCUGAGAAUUUUUUCUUUGCAAAU